RNAcentral lists this ribosomal RNA (501 nucleotides) under uncultured eukaryote. RNAcentral describes it as "bacterial SSU rRNA". It matches the Rfam family "Eukaryotic small subunit ribosomal RNA", at positions 592 to 1065 of the family's 1831-position model. The record is from RNAcentral.
CAGUAGCGUAUAUUAAAGUUGUUGCAGUUAAAAAGCUCGUAGUUGGAUUUCUGGUACGCUGCGCCUGGCCCGCCCGCGUUAGCGGUGUGAGUGUCGGUGCGCGGUUGCCAUCCUUCUAGAGAACGUGCCUACCUUUAAUUAGGCCGGGCACGGGAUCUAGAUCAUUUACUUUGAAAAAAUUAGAGUGUUUAAAGCAGGCUUUUGCUAUGAAUACAUUAGCAUGGAAUAAUAAUAUAGGACUUUGGUUCUAUUUUGUUGGUUUCUAGGACUAAAGUAAUGAUUGAUAGGGAUAGUUGGGGGUGCUAGUAUUCAGCGGCCAGAGGUGAAAUUCUCGGAUUCGCUGAAGACUAACUUAUGCGAAAGCAUUCACCAAGGAUGUCUUCUUUAAUCAAGAACGAAAGUUGGGGGGAUCAAAAGACGAGUACUACGAGUACCUAACCUACUUCGUAGGAACGUACGUCCGAACCGGAACGGACCAACCAACGGGGAAGGGGUAAGGUA